This 1034-nucleotide ribosomal RNA is filed under the name uncultured Chloroflexota bacterium. RNAcentral describes it as "bacterial SSU rRNA". It matches the Rfam family "Bacterial small subunit ribosomal RNA", at positions 337 to 1399 of the family's 1533-position model. Lineage: Bacteria; Bacillati; Chloroflexota. The record is from RNAcentral.
UCCUACGGGAGGCAGCAGUCGGGAAUAUUGCCCAAUGGUCGCAAGACUGAGGCAGCAACGCCGCGUGCGCGAUGAAGGCCUUCGGGUCGUAAAGCGCUUUUCAGUGGGAUGAGGAAGGACAGUACCACCGGAAUAAGGUACGGCUAACUACGUGCCAGCAGCCGCGGUAAAACGUAGGUACCGAGCGUUAUCCGGAUUUACUGGGCGUAAAGCGUGUUCAGGCGGUCUAGCAAGUCGGGCAUGAAAUCUCUGGGCUCAACCCGGAGGGGUUGUCCGAAACUGCUGGGCUUGAGGGCAGCAGAGGGUGGUGGAAUUCCGGGUGUAGUGGUGAAAUGCGUAGAUAUCCGGAGGAACACCAGUGGCGAAGGCGGCCACCUGGGCUGUACCUGACGCUCAAACACGAAAGCUAGGGGAGCGAACGGGAUUAGAAACCCCGGUAGUCCUAGCCGUAAACGAUGUUGACUAGGUGUCGACGGUCUAAACCCCGCCGGUGCCGGAGCUAACGCACGAAGUCAACCGCCUGGGGACUACGGCCGCAAGGUUAAAACUCAAAGGAAUUGACGGGGACCCGCACAAGCAGCGGAGCGUGUGGUUUAAUUCGAGGCUACGCGCAGAACCUUACCAGGGAUUGACAUGGCGGUGGUAGUGAAGCGAAAGCGGAACGACCCUUCGGGGAGCCGUCACAGGUGAUGCAUGGCUGUCGUCAGCUCGUGCCGUGAGGUGUUUGGUUAAGUCCACUAACGAGCGCAACCCUUAGCCUCAGUUAUACGUGUCUGAGGCGACUGCCGGUAUUAAGCCGGAGGAAGGUGGGGAUGACGUCAAGUCCGCGUGUCCUUUAUAUCCUGGGCUACACACACGCUACAAUGGCCAGUACAAUGGGUCGCCAAGCCGCGAGGCGGAGCCAAUCCUAAAAAGCUGGUCUCAGUUCGGAUUGCAGGCUGCAACCCGCCUGCAUGAAGUCGGAGUUGCUAGUAACCGCAGGACAGCUAUACUGCGGUGAAUACGUUCCCGGGCCUUGUACACACCGCAUCGGA